GACAACGAGGUAUGGGAGAGAGAGAGAGAGAGAGAGAGAAGUUUGAAGGAUCAGAAAGAUGACGCGAGGGGGAGUCGAACGACGACGUACAAAAAGCUAGUUUGUUGUCCGCUCGCCUUUUGGACGCGUCGCGUUAUUUAGUGGCGAGCCUCGUCUCAACUCGCUUAAGUGCUCCGGUGACUUACAUCCCUUUGGGGCAAGGGCGCGCUAAGGGGGCGUGACCGUGUACCGUCCCGUCAGGGAUCGGACGUAUAAUGGAAAGUUUGUCGAAAGCGGGAAAGGGCGGCUUGGUUCGCGUCCGUCGGCCAAAAUAACGAGUAGAUUUCUUCGGGUACAUAGAAGUAGAGAAACUUCUUAAAUAAAUUCGCUUGUCUUGUAUCUUAAAUAGAACUUGUCGUUUUCAAAAGUAUGGCAAUUCUUUGGAAUAUUUGAUCAUUUAAUUGUAAAGGUCGUAGAAGCAGGCGCGAAAGAGGUGCUUUAUGGAACAGUUUGUACCGAUAUCGAAUGCCUGCUCGAAUCUCGAGGGUCCUUGGUCGGAAAACAGCACGGUACCAAGUUCAGGCCGGUACUUACGAUCAACUGGCGCAGCGAAGCAUCGCUGGCGAUACAUCAUCCGGAGAGCGCUUAUCUCUCCCGGAUCUGCUAUCUCGUUGGACCCCCGUCCUAUCGAACAAUGCCUCGCACGAGAUAUACCUUGCUCGCAAGAGAUCGUGGCCAGGCUGCUGUGCAUCGCGACACGCUUUAUGCCAUUAAAAUUUUUCCACGACGCACACGCGAUCCUUAAAGCCCAAGAGUAGCGAAAUAAAACGAGUAUCGACAGGAAUAAAAAA
Molecule: long non-coding RNA, 830 nt
Organism: Bombus pascuorum
Lineage: Eukaryota; Metazoa; Arthropoda; Insecta; Hymenoptera; Apidae
Exons: 2
Source: RefSeq, a predicted model, not a curated record